RNAcentral lists this ribosomal RNA (450 nucleotides) under uncultured bacterium. RNAcentral's name for it is "partial 16S ribosomal RNA". It matches the Rfam family "Bacterial small subunit ribosomal RNA", at positions 354 to 796 of the family's 1533-position model. The record is from RNAcentral.
GUGGGGAAUAUUCCGCAAUGGACGAAAGUCUGACGGAGCAACGCCGCGUGAGUGAUGAAGGUUUUCGGACUGUAAAGCUCUGUUGUUUAGGACGAAAGUGCCUGUUGCAAAUAGUUACAGGUAUUGACGGUACUGAACGAGGAAGCCACGGCUAACUACGUGCCAGCAGCCGCGGUAAUACGUAGGUGGCAAGCGUUGUCCGGAAUUAUUGGGCGUAAAGAGCAUGUAGGCGGGAAUCUAAGUCUGUUGUUAAAAUGCGGGGCUCAACCCCGUAUUGCGAUGGAAACUGGGUUUCUUGAGUGCAGGAGAGGAAAGGGGAAUUCCCAGUGUAGCGGUGAAAUGCGUAGAUAUUGGGAGGAACACCAGUGGCGAAGGCGCCUUUCUGGACUGUGUCUGACGCUGAGAUGCGAAAGCCAGGGUAGCGAACGGGAUUAGAUACCCCUGUAGUCC